GGUUCAUGUGUUUCCUAUUAACCUGGGAUCUGAGCAACGCCCAUCACUUCAUCUAACACCUUGUGAGUGGUGGCCAGGGAUCUGAUGUUUUGUGAAACAAUGCUCCUCACAGCUGAUGAACCAGAAGGGAAAAUCUGAGAGAGACAAUUCCAGAAGGACGCUCAUAUUACGUGUUUUAUAG
RNAcentral lists this long non-coding RNA (181 nucleotides) under Anas platyrhynchos platyrhynchos (common mallard). RNAcentral's name for it is "lncRNA (ENSAPLG00000022365.1)". The record is from RNAcentral. Lineage: Eukaryota; Metazoa; Chordata; Aves; Anseriformes; Anatidae.